Molecule: transfer RNA, 76 nt
Filed under: Escherichia coli
Lineage: Bacteria; Pseudomonadati; Pseudomonadota; Gammaproteobacteria; Enterobacterales; Enterobacteriaceae
Description: tRNA-Thr
Rfam family: tRNA
About the family: Transfer RNA (tRNA) molecules are approximately 80 nucleotides in length. Their secondary structure includes four short double-helical elements and three loops (D, anti-codon, and T loops).
Source: RNAcentral
UCUGAUAUGGCUAAGUUGGUAGAGCGCAUCCUUGGUAAGGUUGAGGUCCCCAGUUCGACUCUGGGUAUCAGCACCA